CCUACGGGGUGCAGCAGUGAGGAAUAUUGGUCAAUGGACGAGAGUCUGAACCAGCCAAGUAGCGUGAAGGAUGACUGCCCUAUGGGUUGUAAACUUCUUUUAUAAAGGAAUAAAACGAGGCACGUGUGCCUUUUUGCAUGUACUUUAUGAAUAAGCAUCGGCUAACUCCGUGCCAGCAGCCGCGGUAAUACGGAGGAUCCGAGCGUUAUCCGGAUUUAUUGGGUUUAAAGGGAGCGUAGAUGGGUUGUUAAGUCAGUUGUGAAAGUUUGCGGCUCAACCGUAAAAUUGCAAUUGAUACUGGCAGUCGUGAGUACAGUUGAGGUAAGCGGAAUUCGUGGUGUAGCGGUGAAAUGCUUAGAUAUCACGAAGAAGCCCGAUUGCGAAGGCAGCUUACUAGACUGUGACUGACAUUGAUGCUCGAAAGUGUGGGUAUCAAACAGGAUUAGAUACCCGGGUAGUC
Molecule: ribosomal RNA, 460 nt
Filed under: uncultured bacterium
Lineage: Bacteria
Description: partial 16S ribosomal RNA
Rfam family: Bacterial small subunit ribosomal RNA
Source: RNAcentral